This 465-nucleotide ribosomal RNA is filed under the name uncultured bacterium. Its description in RNAcentral is "partial 16S ribosomal RNA". It matches the Rfam family "Bacterial small subunit ribosomal RNA", at positions 28 to 507 of the family's 1533-position model. The record is from RNAcentral.
GACGAACGCUGGCGGCGUGCUUAACACAUGCAAGUCGAACGGAAAGGCCCUGCUUGCAGGGUACUCGAGUGGCGAACGGGUGAGUAACACGUGGGUGAUCUGCCCUGCACUUCGGGAUAAGCCUGGGAAACUGGGUCUAAUACCGGAUAGGAGCCAUUUUUAGUGUGAUGGUUGGAAAGUUUUUUCGGUGUAGGAUGAGCUCGCGGCCUAUCAGCUUGUUGGUGGGGUAAUGGCCUACCAAGGCGGCGACGGGUAGCCGGCCUGAGAGGGUGGACGUCCACAUUGGAACUGGGAGACGGCCCAGACUCCUACGGGAGGCAGCAGUUGGGAAUAUUGCACUAUGGGCGCAAGCCUGAUGCAGCGACGCCGCGUGUGGGAUGACGGCCUUCGGGUUGUAAGCUCCUUUCGCUAGGGACGAAGCUUUUUGUGACGGUACCUAGAUAAGAAGCACCGGCUAACUACGUG